RNAcentral lists this ribosomal RNA (785 nucleotides) under uncultured Mycobacterium sp. Its description in RNAcentral is "bacterial SSU rRNA". It matches the Rfam family "Bacterial small subunit ribosomal RNA", at positions 555 to 1338 of the family's 1533-position model. The record is from RNAcentral. Lineage: Bacteria; Bacillati; Actinomycetota; Actinomycetes; Mycobacteriales; Mycobacteriaceae.
UGGGCGUAAAGAGCUCGUAGGUGGUUUGUCGCGUUGUUCGUGAAAUCUCACGGCUUAACUGUGAGCGUGCGGGCGAUACGGGCAGACUUGAGUACUGCAGGGGAGACUGGAAUUCCUGGUGUAGCGGUGGAAUGCGCAGAUAUCAGGAGGAACACCGGUGGCGAAGGCGGGUCUCUGGGCAGUAACUGACGCUGAGGAGCGAAAGCGUGGGGAGCGAACAGGAUUAGAUACCCUGGUAGUCCACGCCGUAAACGGUGGGUACUAGGUGUGGGUUUCCUUCCUUGGGAUCCGUGCCGUAGCUAACGCAUUAAGUACCCCGCCUGGGGAGUACGGCCGCAAGGCUAAAACUCAAAGAAAUCGACGGGGGCCCGCACAAGCGGCGGAGCAUGUGGAUUAAUUCGAUGCAACGCGAAGAACCUUACCUGGGUUUGACAUGCACAGGACGCCGGCAGAGAUGUCGGUUCCCUUGUGGCCUGUGUGCAGGUGGUGCAUGGCUGUCGUCAGCUCGUGUCGUGAGAUGUUGGGUUAAGUCCCGCAACGAGCGCAACCCUUGUCUCAUGUUGCCAGCGGGUAAUGCCGGGGACUCGUGAGAGACUGCCGGGGUCAACUCGGAGGAAGGUGGGGAUGACGUCAAGUCAUCAUGCCCCUUAUGUCCAGGGCUUCACACAUGCUACAAUGGCCGGUACAAAGGGCUGCGAUGCCGCGAGGUUAAGCGAAUCCUUUUAAAGCCGGUCUCAGUUCGGAUCGGGGUCUGCAACUCGACCCCGUGAAGUCGGAGUCGCUAG